GUGACAGGUGACUACAAAGGUUGACAUCUCUAUAGGAAGACACUGGUGAUGUGGAUGUGGAGGAACAGGAGGUGAAUGGAAGUUUUUCAAAAGAUUAAGAUUUUGAGAGUAUCAGGUGGGGAAUAGAGGAAAAAUGACUGGAUAGACCCAGUGUGGUCAAGGAUGGGCCAAGGGAAUUGAAACAUGUAUUGCCAUAUAUUUAGAGAGGCUCCCACUUACAAGCGGACUGUGAGGACUUUCACCUGUCUGGAAGCAUUCACCCAUGGCCUGAAUAGUACGUGCCUCUGAGGGAGUUUCAUCCUGGUGCUAGGCCAGUCAUGUUUCAAAUCUUGGAAACUGCUUGAUGACGGCGUCCCUUCUGGUCGACUGCUGCCACAACAUGAGAGAAAUGCCCAGCUUAGGACUGCUUCCAGUGACUGAGGUUGCAGUUCCAACCACGCACAUGAGCUGCCCCAAAGGAGCUACUCACCUGAGUGACAGCACAGCAGUGCUGUCGGGGAUUUCAAGUGUCCUUCUUUCCAUCUGCCCUCUCCUUUAACUCUUGCCUCUCAAGACUAAAAACUGUACCAAGAUUCUCCAAGAAUCUUCUCUAUUAAUUCCUGGCAAGUUGGAGGUGUAAAUGAGACCCUGGUUAAAGUUACCCCUCUAAUAGCUCUCUGUUAUAUGUGGAGAAAAUGUUUAAUGUUUUGACAUCAAACAUCUAGUGAUGAUAUAAAAAUUUCCUUUUGAAUAUAUGUGGAGUUUAAUGGUGGUGGGUUAGGGAGACAUCUAAUUAGGUGCUUCUCUUAUGUUUUCAUUCUACAAUAUAGUUUUUAAUUGAAAAGUUUCCUCCUAUACCUAUUAUGGAAGCCCAAUAAUUUUCAAAGCAUAAUCUCAAAUGGGAACACAAAUUUAAAUACUCACAAUUUAAAUUUUGUGAAAGGAAAAAAAAUAAAAUUAAAAUUAAAAAAUGGUCCUUUAUGUCAGGCCUCUGAGCCCAAGCCUGCACAUAUGCAUCCAGAUGGCCUGGAGCAACUGAGGAAUGACAGGAGAGGUGAAAAUAGCCAGUUCCUGCCUCGACUGAUGACAUUCCACCAUUGUGAUUUGUUCCUGCCCCACCCUAACUGAUCAACUGAUCCUGUGACAUUCCUUCUCCCGGACAAUGAGUAUCAGAAGCUCCCCACCUAGCACCUUGUAACCCCAGCCCCUGCCCACAAGAGGAAAACCCCUUUGACUGUAAUUUUCCACUACCUACCCAAAUCCUAUAAAACUGCCCCACCCUUAUCUCCCUUUGUUUUUGACUCCUUUUUCGGACUCAGCACGCCUGCACCCAGGUGAUUAAAAAGCUUUAUUGCUCACACAAAGCCUGUUUGGUUGUUUCUUCACACAGAUGCGUGUGACACUUUAGAGACUUUCUCUAAUUUCUACUGAUAAUGCAUGGUGAUCUCUUUUUUGAAAACCAGUUUGUGGGUUAAUAGUUUGACUAUAUGGAGGACUGUGAGAAAUAAAGAGAAAAUGUAUUUUCUUGUGAUUCAGUAUUGCUGGUAGCUAUUUUAACAGUUCAUAUUUGUAUUUUGUGUUUCUUUAAUUUAUUGGUGUGACAAAUAACUCAUUUAUACUCAUUUAUAUUGAUUUUAAUAUACCAUGAAUAAAGUAUUUAUAGUCCAGGCAUUUCAUUUUCUG
This 1662-nucleotide long non-coding RNA is filed under the name Homo sapiens (human). RNAcentral's name for it is "HSALNT0358876". Lineage: Eukaryota; Metazoa; Chordata; Mammalia; Primates; Hominidae. The record is from RNAcentral.